GACGAACGCUGGCGGCGUGCUUAACACAUGCAAGUCGAACGGAAAGGCCCUGCUUUUGUGGGUGCUCGAGUGGCGAACGGGUGAGUAACCCGUGAGUAACCCGCCCUUGACUUUGGGAUAAACUUAGGAAAAUGGGGGUUAUACCCGAUAGGAUCUCCUUCUGCAUGGGGGGGGUUGGAAAGUUUCGGCGGUUGGGGAUGGACUCGCGGCUUAUCAGGUUGUUGGUGGGGUAGUGGCUUACCAAGGCUUUGACGGGUAGCCGGCCUGAGAGGGUGACCGGCCACAUUGGGACUGAGAUACGGCCCAGACUCCUACGGGAGGCAGCAGUGGGGAAUAUUGCACAAUGGGCGGAAGCCUGAUGCAGCAACGCCGCGUGCGGGAUGACGGCCUUCGGGUUGUAAACCGCUUUCGCCUGUGACGAAGCGUGAGUGACGGUAAUGGGUAAAGAAGCACCGGCUAACUACGUG
RNAcentral lists this ribosomal RNA (467 nucleotides) under uncultured bacterium. RNAcentral describes it as "partial 16S ribosomal RNA". It matches the Rfam family "Bacterial small subunit ribosomal RNA", at positions 28 to 507 of the family's 1533-position model. The record is from RNAcentral.